This 336-nucleotide unclassified non-coding RNA is filed under the name soil metagenome. Its description in RNAcentral is "partial contains 5.8S ribosomal RNA, internal transcribed spacer 2, and large subunit ribosomal RNA". The stretch from base 1 to 120 matches the Rfam family "5.8S ribosomal RNA", at positions 35 to 154 of the family's 154-position model. The record is from RNAcentral.
GAUGAAGAACGUAGCGAAAUGCGAUAAGUAGUGUGAAUUGCAGAAUUCAGUGAAUCAUCGAAUCUUUGAACGCACAUUGCGCCCCUUGGUAUUCCAUGGGGCAUGCCUGUUCGAGCAUCAUUUGUACCUUCAAGCUCUGCUUGGUGUUGGGUGUUUGUCUCGCCUCUGCGUGUAGACUCGCCUCAAAACAAUUGGCAGCCGGCGUAUUGAUUUCGGAGCACAGUACAUCUCGCGCUUUGCACUCAUAACGACGACGUCCAAAAGUACAUUUUACACUCUUGACCUCGGAUCAGGUAGGGAUACCCGCUGAACUUAAGCAUAUCAAUAAGCGGAGGA